CCAAUAGCGUAUAUUAAAGUUGCUGCAGUUAAAAAGCUCGUAGUUGAAUUUCGGAACCAAUAUGUUGGUUGUGCCUCGGUACGUACUGGCAUUGUUGGUUUCUCCCUUCUGACGAACUAUGAUGUCAUUAAUUUGGUAGUCUUAACCAUAAACUAUACCGACUAGGGAUCGGAUGAUGUUAAUUUUUUAAUGACUCAUUC
RNAcentral lists this ribosomal RNA (200 nucleotides) under uncultured Glomeromycotina. RNAcentral describes it as "partial small subunit ribosomal RNA". The record is from RNAcentral. Lineage: Eukaryota; Fungi; Glomeromycota.